GCUGCGAGCGAACAGGGAAGAGCCCAGCACCGAAUCCCGCGGCCGAUACCGGACGCCGGGAAAUGUGGUGUUAGGGAGGGUCCAUUAUCCCGAGGUUAUGCGGUGCGUCCAAGUCCUUCUUGAACGGGGCCACAGCCCAUAGAGGGUGCUAGGCCCGUAGUGACCGCUGCUAAUCGCGGGAGGAUCUCUCCUCAGAGUCGGGUUGCUUGAGAGUGCAGCCCUAAGUGGGUGGUAAACUCCAUCUAAGGCUAAAUAUGACCACGAGACCGAUAGCGAACAAGUACCGUGAGGGAAAGUUGAAAAGCACUUUGAAGAGAGAGUUAAAGAGUACGUGAAACCGUUUAGGGGUAAACCUGAGAAAUCCGAAAGGUCGAAGGGAGAAAUUCAUUCGCGUCUCGCCGUUGGCGUUAAGCGGUCGUGUGACGGAGAACGUUCGCGUUCACCGCGCCUUCCGUUUUUCGAUCCGAUAGCGAACGCGUGCACUUUUCUCCUGGUAGGACGUCGCGAUCCGUUGGGUGUCGGUCUACGGCUCUCGGUGGAGCCCGUGCGUACGGCUUGCCGUCACGCGCGGACCCGAGUGUCCCGGCUGACUCGCUCGACGGUAUACGAAAGGUUUAAGGCCGCUCUUUUUGAGCGUUCGGCUCGUUGCAAGCGCGCCGGAUGUGUCGGCGAUCGGACCUAGUGCCGGUUCUGACCUCCGGUGACUGUUGGCGACGAAGUUCUCGAACAGACCUCUAACCGAUCAGCGAC
Molecule: ribosomal RNA, 750 nt
Filed under: Scepticus minowai
Lineage: Eukaryota; Metazoa; Arthropoda; Insecta; Coleoptera; Curculionidae
Description: eukaryotic LSU rRNA
Rfam family: Eukaryotic large subunit ribosomal RNA
Source: RNAcentral